Molecule: long non-coding RNA, 2586 nt
Organism: Grammomys surdaster
Lineage: Eukaryota; Metazoa; Chordata; Mammalia; Rodentia; Muridae
Exons: 2
Source: RefSeq, a predicted model, not a curated record
UUUGGUGUUUGGGGCAGAGGUAUUGCUCUCAGGUAGGACAUUAAGUAUUCUGUGGGAUCUCUCAGCUUGCGUGUGCUAGUGAACUGUUCCUUAGAGAAGCAGAGGUUGUUUCCCAACCUAUGCUGGGAUGCCACAGCCCCACGCCUCAGUUUUUCCACCCAGCAAAGCCUCCUCUGGUCUCCAGUUGAAAUCAUCUUCUUUCUAAACACAGCCGCAUCUGUGUUUCAGUGGGCAUUCUGCUGUCUAGCAUUUUACCAUACUCUGUGUCUCUUACCACUUACCCUGGCAGAUUAUUAAGUUGCUCUCUUUUAAGGAACACUUCUUAUUUAUUUCAAUUCACUACUGCAGACCCCGCCCCCCUACCCAACAAGAACAGUUUUCAUUUAGUGAACCACUUACUCUGUGUAUAAGAGCCUUCAAUAUCUUAUGUAAUCUAACAUGAAUCUACUGAGAUGACUAGUCCUAUUUCCAUUCAAGUAACUAUCCACAAAGCAUAUAGAAGUAACAGAAAGACACACUUCCAACAUGGGUUUGUAAAAGUCUCUAAUUCUCAAUCUGAGGAGUCUCCUAAUCUGCACUCUUCUGCCUAGCACAGUUACUGGGAGAGUGGGUCUUCCAUAGAGAAUGUCAAUUUUACUUUCCUAAGAAUCAGCAUGACUUAAGCACAAAGAGUAAUUGCCAAGUCACCAAUCCCUCCCCUGCAUCUCACUGACGAAGACAUAGGAACCAAAGAGAGGAAAGUGCGUCAACCAAAGUUGCAGAGACAGUAGCUGCCCAUGCACACCGUUUCCCCUGCGGCAGCCACUUCUCCACCUCUAAUUUUCCUAAACACUUUCCACAGGACAGGAAUUGCUCAGUAUUGGAAAGCAUAGGAAGGAAGAGGGUGUGGAUGCAGAUGUAUUUCGUGCUGCUUGAUCGCUCUGUAUAGGACAACCAACUUCUCUGGAGCCGUACUUUCCUGAGGACUUGUGCAUAGAUCAAAUGCUGGCUUUUCUUUUCCAGUAAGUCAGCCUCCGGUGCAAGCCGCCUGAAGUUGCCAAGCCCUCCAAGAAGAAGUCCCUCAACUCCUGGUGUUUCAACGUUCUGGCUUACUCCUGACUGUCAUACUUCUUCCCUUAAAGAGUUCUCAAUGAGACUCUUCAAUUUUGUGUAUACACCGGAAGCUGAAUACUGCUGAGUCAUGCUACAGAAGCUGCCACACAAGAAAGAGGAAUUGCUGGAGCCAUGGAGAUUGCCAUGCCUGACAACCUGAGUGAUCCCUGUACCCCACAUGAUGGACCCACAGGUUAUACUCUGACCUUCAUGCAUGCACCAUGACAUGCUCACCCGAACCACAUCCCACUCAGCCCUGCGUGUGUGUGUGUGUGUGUGUGUGUGUGUGUGUGUGUCACACAUAAUAACAAUAUAUCAAUUUAGAAGGUAGAAAGGAGACAGGAUAGAUCAGGCUGGGGAUGUAGCUCAGUUGUACUUGCUGACAAGUACAAGGCCCCGUGUUCACUCCCCAUCGCUGUGUAGGCACUGUGUUACACAGCUGUAAUCCCAACGGUUGAGGUGAAGUAGUAAGACAAUCAGAAGUUCAAAGUCCUUCUGGGCUACAAAGGAAAUUUGAAGCAGCCUUGUAAACAUGAGACCCUGUGAAGAAAAAAAUGAGGAAGGAAAAAAGGGAGGAGGAGGAGAGAGAAGGAAGAAGAAGUGGAAGAGGAGGAGGAAGAGAGGGAGGAGGGGAGGAAAGAAAAAAAAAGAGGCAAUAACAUCAGGCUCACAUGUUCUUGUAUUCAUCAGUAGCCAGGAAAAUUAAAAACAACUCAGGCCCAGUAAAGACAGAUGGUCACUCAUGGGCCAGAGCUAACCCACAGAUGUGCUUUACUUGACCACACAAUAGCUCUAAAUGUUUUUGAAAUUUACUGCUACUGCUUAGGAAUUGUGUUGAUAUGUAAUAAAUUCCCUAGAGCAACUGCUCUCAGCCCACCUGCUCACCCUGCCUGAUUCCUGAAGUGACAGGUGGUAUUUGCAGCCUAGGGUCCUGCAGAUGGGUAGCAUGUGUGCCUGGUCCUCCCUUGCCCCACAAUAGCCUUUAAAAGACCAGUAAAUGACAACCUUGGAGUGACCAUGGAUUCUUCUGUCUGCAUGACAGAGCCAGGUCCUGUAGUUGCUCCCGUAGACCGUAGCCUCUCUCUUGUGCUGCCUUCUUUCUGGACACAAUUCUCUAUGUCUAUCUCCCUUUGAAAAGUGUACAUUCAGAGUCAUGCACAGUGCUCCCCAGAUCUACUUACCGAUAUAGAAGAUUCAAAGAUAGAUAUCUUUCAUAUUUAUGUACCAUUAUUUUCUACUUGGCGUCUAAACCAUCAAGCAUGAUGACAAUCCAAAUUGAAAGAUUUGUAGCAUAUGAAAUUGAUUCUUUCCCUUGAAAACAGCAAAACAGAAUAGAUUCCAGAGAAAACAGAACAUUAUUUCCUGAGAGGCACAUCUCUAACAAUGUGAGAGGAAUGACAAGCAUCUUGAAAUUGUUUUCUGUUUAUAAAUGUAAGCAGAGAGAAUCGUCUAAGGAAUCUACUUAUAAAAUCUUAUAAAAUGUUGCCAACAUAA